ACGUUUCAUCUACUCCUCAUCUUCAUCUGUGACAAAUUUACCAGUUCCAGGAUUCAAUGCGGCAACAAAGAAGAAGAUAACGUUGAACAGCACAAGUGGUUCGAUUUCGUUGAUGGGGAUCCCAGUCUCAAUGUUGAGUUGUGCUAGAGCUCCUUUCCCUGUUAUGAUUUCUCCAAUCAAAGAGAAUGCAAUACCCAACUGAGCCAAUCUUCCCACAAACAGCUCGUUUGACUUCGUGAAUCCAAAUAUGGGACCUUCCACAUUCAAACAGCAAAUAUAUAUUACUCUUGACUUCAUCAAAUCGUGAUUCAUGAAAGCAGGCUACUUAAGAGAACUGUAGUAGUGGUAAUAAUGGUUUAUUAAAUUGAGCCCCACUGCUCAUUAAAAAUGCUGGUUUUUUCUUUUUUCUUUUUUCUUUUUUAAUUGUGGGAAUUUUUAACAUUUUUGUGCUGGUGUCUACCACAAGCCUACUAGUAUUAAGGUAGUGUUUACUUUCUGGAGUGGAAGUGUGGAGUGUGGAUUCCUCCCACUCCAGUGUUUACUUGCCUUAAAAAAGGGGGAGUGGGAGUGGGAAUCCGUGGGUCCCACUCAAUUUUGGAGUGGGGAGUGGGAUUCCCACUCCCAUGGGGGGAGGUGGGAGUGGGAAUCCACUCCCCCCUCUUCCCAUUUUAUCCUUAUAAAAAUAAAUAAAUAAAUAAAUAAAUAAUAUUUAAUAAAAUAAAUAAUAUCAUAUUUAAUAAAAUAAAUAAUAUCAUAUUUAUUAAAAAUAAUAAUUAUAUCAUAUUUAUUUUAUUAAAUUUAAUAUUUUAUUCACAUAAUUUAAAUUAAAAUUAAUAAAAAAUUAUGAUUUACAUAAUUAAGAAUAUUAGUAAUUAUUAUUAAUUUAUAAAUAUAAUAAAAUAUUUAUUUUAUUUUCCAAAUAUAUUUUUUAUUAAUUUUUUAAUUACAAAUUAUAAUUAUGUACAUAAGGAUAAAAUUGUAAUUUAAAACAAUUUACUCCCAAUCCAAGACAAAGUAAACAAAAAAUUAGGAUUCUGAUUGACAAUCCAUACUUUCAUUUAGUCUAAGUAAACACCCUACUCCCACUCCCACUCCACACUCCUAAUCCAAGAAUUCCCACUCCUCAGGAUUCCCACUCUAAUCCAAAAAGUAAACGCAGCAUAAUUCUAUUACAUACCACCGUUCAAAAUUCUUUACUCAUUUAGAGCCGCAUUUACUCUCAAGUAUUGGUAUGUGUAUUUUCUGUCAGAUAUUAAAUAAUAAUUAAUUUUUAACCCCAUCACUAAUGUAUUAAUUAUUAAUGCCAAGACACAUUAGAUGUCAACACACAAAUUUAGUAUCCCAACUUUAUAAACACUGCAUCACUCAUUAUAAAUUCAUAAACUGAAAAGGUUAAUAAACACAAUAGGCAGGGAACUAGGGAAUUGGAAUUACCUCCUUCCUUGAGACCCAAUGCUGAUCUCAAGCCUUUGCCUGGAGGAAUGACAGCUCCUCCGAGCCCAGUGGGCUCAUCUGGCUCAUCAACGAACUUACCACGGUCACCCAAAGCUCCAAUUGCUCCAAGCAAGGUGAACAGGAUGAAAAAUAAAAGCAGUGGCUCUGCUUCAUAGAUUGGAAUUCCGGUCUCCAAAUUCAACUGAGCUAGAAUCCCCUUCCCAGUUAUUCCCUCACCCAACAAGGAAGCCUACACAAAACAUAGCUUGCUAAUUAAUUAAUAAAACCCUUGGAAAAUAUGAUCUUAACAGAAGUUUAAUUUUCCUUUUUCUCUCCUAGAUUUUUCAAGUCUACUCGGCCUCCGUCCGAAUUGUGGUACAAAUCCUAAAGGAAGCCUGGAAGCCUUCAAGAAAAAUGAUAAAUCUAAAUCUAACUGAUAUAUGUACAAUUUUGAUGAGCAAAGAGACAGAUGUUGUUUUCAGUAUAGAAUUUGGAAAAAAGUAGUUGAGUACUCACAGCAAAGCCAAUCAUGGCAACACGACCAACAAAGAGCUCAUUUUGCUUUGUAAAACCAAAUCCUCCAGAGGUCCCAAAGAUACCAUCCUCAACUUUUGGCUUUGAUUCAACCUGUAAGUUUAAAUUAAAAUAUACCCAUAAACAACUAGCUAAGGGCCAAUAUUAAAUCAAAACAAUCUUACCAACAAUAAAAACGGAAACAAGAAAACCAAAUUAAACCUUCUUGGUCUUGGGUGGAGCUUUGGUUUUAGAUUUGAAGAG
This 2211-nucleotide long non-coding RNA is filed under the name Citrus sinensis (sweet orange). RNAcentral's name for it is "long non-coding RNA (CSIN_LNC001459)". The record is from RNAcentral. Lineage: Eukaryota; Viridiplantae; Streptophyta; Magnoliopsida; Sapindales; Rutaceae.